Molecule: long non-coding RNA, 1041 nt
Filed under: Oryctolagus cuniculus (rabbit)
Lineage: Eukaryota; Metazoa; Chordata; Mammalia; Lagomorpha; Leporidae
Description: lncRNA (ENSOCUG00000033529.1)
Source: RNAcentral
GGCUUGCUCAGACUUGAUCCCAGGUGGAUGUCGCCAUCUCAUGAUGGACUACUGCUGGGCCCUUCCAGUAUUCUGACUUAGUAGGUCUGAUACACGCAGCUGUAGUGGGCAUUUACCCCGUGGUUGAGCUUUCCAUCUCACCGGAGCCUGGUAACAUACCAGGAGCUGUUCUCUUACAGGUGUGCCGCCCUUGGCAUGACCCCACGCCAGGACCCCAGGGAUACAUUCUGGCUCCUCCCCUGGGGCUGUGUCUGCGUGUGUGUGUCCUGCAGGGCAGCCAGCCGAUCUCUGUUCCCCUCAUCUUCCUGUCAUCGGUGAUUGGCCUUCAUUCUGGCAGCUUGUUGGCUGGAGACGGAGCGCUCCUGACAAAUUCUGCAGAGAUGAGAACGUAGCCAAGAACUGCUCCUUAGUCAGUUAAAACGUUGCGUCCACAAUAGCCAUCAGCGGGGGAGGGGGUGCUGUGCAGGGCCGUCUGGGUUUCCAGAGGAGUGCAGAGUCAGCCCCUCCUGAAGUCACGCCUUCCAUCACCGGACAGGCAGUCUCGGCGUCGCCCGGAGAGCAGCUGGCCCACUGUGGCUGUGAGCGAUUGCCUGGUGCCUGGGAAUCACCUUGACAGCCAAGGCAAAUAGGCCAGACCCCAGACACGCCGUCUGGGAUCUGAACUGUCCGGAGCAGCCGUCUACCCAAGCUGCUAAUUCACAGUGAUGCCGACUCACAGGCAAAGCAUUGCGACGUCUGCCUCAGCUCCCGAGAGCCUGCCUCUGGUUCCUUGGUGUGUGUUACACGGCGACGGCACGGGCGUGUGUCCUAAGCAUCAUCCGCUUACGUUACGUGGCGAUGAGUUUGUGACUUAAAUGCAGGGGGAGGUCGAAACGAUUCUCUAAGGCUUUUUGUAGCUCAAUUCCCAGUUCGCUGUUCAGUGUGAAACACCAGCUCUUCGUUCUGGUGGGCGUCAGCAGACAGGACUGGUGCUCCUCCAGCCGUGUUUCCCUGGCCGCGAUGAUUUAGGAAUUUUAAUAAACUACAAUCUGAAAACUCCCA